CCAAGGAGUCUAACAUGUGCGCGAGUCAUUGGGACGUUGAAACCUAAAGGCGCAAUGAAAGUAAAUGUUCGCCCUCGCGCGGACAGAGGGAGGAUGGAUCGCGUCACGAUGCGGUCUCGCACUCCCGGGGCGUCUCGUUCUCAUUGCGAGAAGAGGCGCACCCAGAGCGUACACGUUGGGACCCGAAAGAUGGUGAACUAUGCCUGGUCAGGACGAAGUCAGGGGAAACCCUGAUGGAGGUCCGUAGCGAUUCUGACGUGCAAAUCGAUCGUCGGAACUGGGUAUAGGGGCGAAAGACUAAUCGAACCAUCUAGUAGCUGGUUCCCUCCGAAGUUUCCCUCAGGAUAGCUGGCACUCGCGUGCGAAACGUUACACGAGUCUCAUUCGGUAAAGCGAAUGAUUAGAGGCCUUGGGGCCGAAACGACCUCAACCUAUUCUCAAACUUUAAAUGGGUGAGAUCUCUGGCUUGCUUGAACCAUGAAGCCACGAGAUUUCGGAUCAGAGUGCCAAGUGGGCCACUUUU
This 523-nucleotide ribosomal RNA is filed under the name Perga condei. RNAcentral's name for it is "eukaryotic LSU rRNA". It matches the Rfam family "Eukaryotic large subunit ribosomal RNA", at positions 666 to 1138 of the family's 3401-position model. Lineage: Eukaryota; Metazoa; Arthropoda; Insecta; Hymenoptera; Pergidae. The record is from RNAcentral.